GUGAACGCCCUCACGGGCUUAUACUAUUCCAAACUCGGUGAACCGUGCCCUUCGGUGCAUUUUACAAACAUGGGUAAUGAACGUCAUAUAUCAUAACAAAACA
Molecule: unclassified non-coding RNA, 103 nt
Filed under: soil metagenome
Description: partial internal transcribed spacer 1
Source: RNAcentral